CUAAGAUCGGCCAGUGAGAUUUUAUUAAGAAAAGAGAAUCCAGCCUUCCCACAAAUUUACCGCUGGGUUGAUAGACAACAAAAGCAAUCGGCUCCCAUUUUUCUCCAGCUCUGUUGUGGGAGAGGCUUUUACACUCUUAAAGAGAGGUUGGUCAUCAUUUGCUCACUUGAGUGUUGUAAGUUGACAUGAAAAGGGCAGGUCACAUGAUGAAGAGAAAGGCGCUCAGAAUGGACAGAUGCCUUACAGAUGGUCACAGGGCUCGUUUUCUGCUUCGUGCAGGAUUGAUUCCAAGGUUGGAACUAAGAUCAGAUCCAGCAAUGAGAUUACAUCUGACCUGUGGUUUUACCUUUCGGCACAGUGGCUGCACCCUAAUCGACUGCUAUUUUAGCCAGCAAUUGCAACUUCCCAGUUCUCUAGCGGCAGCCUGGCCACUCAGGCCGCUGUUCCCACAGGCACUGGCUCUGUCGCUGCCACUGAAGGUAGCUUUAACUAAAUCUCCCUCAUUCUAUUUAUAAAUAAGACUCAAAAUUCAAGGACUGGGGUGAAAACCUGCGAGCUCAGGGAGGCUGAGUUGCAAAUCGCUAACUGUCUCCCCUUGCUGGUGUCUCUGAAAGACCUGUGCUUCCACUCUGCCAAACCAGAAAAGGCUUGGCCACUCCAAACCCCUUCCUCCUACUUCCUGUGUCUCUCCGUCUCUCCCGGAUGCCCUCUGAGGCUCUAUGAUUACUUUCUGUCAACUAAUUGCUAACUCAGCCUCCUGACUCAAGGUCAAUUUUAUUUAAUCAACACAAAUGCAAACUUGGGACUCACAAUGUGAUCGAAUAUCCCCCAACACUGACCAGCAGAGAGGGGGUGUAUGGCAGGAUGACUGGGAUACCUCCUCUACCAGUCUGUUGAAGGCUCAGGGAUGAGGUGUAGACUGCUCCCAUGCUCCCCAGCUCCCCAGCUCCCACUUGUCACUGACAUGGGGCCCCUAAGUGACGUGGCACUCAGGUCUUACAAGCAGGGAGAUGGGGCACAGAGGGGACCACAGGACUUCAAUGACAUGGUCUGAGAUGCCACAGACAGUGCCCCAAAUCACAGAAAGUGCUUGGCCGUCUGUUGGGGUGGGAGACAGGUGGUGAUGCUUGGGCUGUUUUUGUUCCUGCAGCUUUUCUGUUACCAAUAAGCUAAUGAGACUUGUGGAAGCUGAGUCACUCGGAGCUACGGUCUGAAUGUUGUGUUCCAUCGGUGUUUCUGUGUUGAAAUGUUGAAGCCUAACCUUCAGAUAGUAAUGGUAUUAGCAAAUAAAAUCUCUGGGGGAUGAUUAGGUCAUGAGAACCCACCCUCACCAGGAAUCAGGACAUUUCUGAGAACUUGGCUUCUUUGCCCUACGAGGACUAAGCCAGAAAGCACAAGAGAGCAAGCCCUUAUCGGGUGUAGAACUUCCUGACCUCUUGAUCUUGCAUUCCCCAGCCUCCAAAGCUUUACAUCAUCAAUUCCUGUUGUUUAUACAGUGCCCAGACUAAGAUAUUUUGUUAUAGCAGCAGGAACAGACAAGAUACAAGGCAAUAAGCAGAAAAACCCAGGUCUGCAUGAAUGUCAAAUGUCAUCCUGGCUCUUGGCAGUGUGGUCUACCUGCUGUUGCUUAGACUGUACAGUCAGGUCUGCCAUGCUGUCUGAAGCAGAGAUGGAUGGUGAGUGAAGGAGGGAGAGAGAUAGCCCAACACUCCUGUAAAAUGCCCACUGGGAAAAUAAGCAACCAUGGACCUAAGAGAGCCCCAAAGGAACAAAUGCCCCCCAAACACAUUGUCAGAAUGACAACCAACAGGCCCCUGUAAUGAGUAUUGGCCUUGAUUCAGCUUCAUGGCUGUCUAGUGGCAACCCAGGCCAGGAUGUCUGUUCUAGUUGCUUCCAGGGAAGCUUGCCAGGCCCCCAACAUGGGAUACUCAGCAAAUACUUGUUCGCUGAUUAUCUAAUUUUAAAUUCUCACGCAUUUACUUUUUUUUUUCCCAAGGAAAUUUGGCAAAGGAAACCAAAGAACUAUUCCUGGCUUCUCUUUGGGUUACACUUUCUUCUGUUCAAUUUUGAGCCAAUACAGUAAGAAUGUAAAAUUCCAUAUGGGGUAGCUUUAGCGACUCCGUGUGGGAUGAACUUCCUUGCCUCUGGCAUUUGAGUUCUGUGGCAGACACGGGAGAAGGGGAUGCUACUGGAAGGUUCCAUUUCUAGACCCCUUACCCUCGAGCCCUAUUGGCUCAUUGCUUCACCCUCCAUGUCUUCUCUUCCUUCUCUGGGGUCUGACCAUCUGGAACUGGAGUUACAGACAGUUAUGAGCCACCGUGGGGGUGCUAACAGUUGAAGCCAGGUCCUCUGGAAAAGCAGCCAGUGCUCUUAACCACUGAGCCAUCUCUCUAGUACCCCCGCAACACACACACACACACACACACACACACACACACACACACACACACACUUUUAUUUAGUUGCUAGAGUUUGGAUCUCAAAUGCCCCCCAAAGACUCACUUGUCAGCUUGCUCCUUAGCUGUUCGGGAAGGAAUGGGAACUUUAAACAGUGAGGCAUCAUGAGAGGUCUUUAGGUCACUGGGAGUGUGCCCUGGACGGCAGGGGAUAGAUCAUGGGAUGGCAGACACUUCCUCUCUCUCUCUCACUUCCUGGUUAGUGGUUUGCUCACUCCUGUUGUGCCUUGCUCCCUCCACAAAGCAAUGGGACCUUAAUCACGGAUUUGAACCUCUGAACGGUGAACCAAAAUGAACUGUUUCUCUGCGCAAGUGCAUUAUCUCAGGACACACUCACAUGUGUGAGUCCCCUGCUGUUGUUAGCACGACUGACACUUUUUAGGACCUACCUCACAGAUCUUGGCUUUUAUUUCAAUCAUGUGUAGCAUAAAUUUUUAGGUUUCAGUCUCUGCUGGAGUUCUUCCAUUUAUGUUAUUUUAAAUCUCUUCUAGUCGUAUCUUGUUUUUUUUUUUUUUAAAGUAUACUCUGAGCACUCUUUAAUUAGAAUUCUAACUUUUCUGUUAACUUCCUAUGCACAAAAUGUCUGAUGUUUCAGUUUUUCAAUUUGAAGUCUUUAAUUUCUCCCAUUUUUCAGCCUCGUGUAUUUGAAUUAUUUUACCUUUAUACUGAAAUGUUAAAUGAAGUUUUUGGUGGUUUGUUUGCUUUGCCCAUCUUAACCUUUGCAGCUUCUUUCAGUGUUGGACUAAAAUUCUCUGAAUUACCAUCCAGUUCACCUUAGAUCUCUUUGUCUUUCCAAUGGGGGUGGAGAGAAUGAUUCCGGAAGCCCCAAUAUGAGAAGGCUCAACCCCAGCCGGACUAGAGGUCCCCUUCUCUCCAGCUGCCCCUGCGGACACCUUUGGUCCUCUCCUGGAGAAGCCAUCUCAGAUGUGUCUUACAGUGUCUAAUGCCUCACGUUUUUAGAGCCCUGAGGCAUCUGCUCUCCAGAUCCUUGGGGGGUUAACUUCAGUGGAGCAAGUUGGUCAUGUGAACCCAAGAGCUUUGGAAAAAUCUUCAUUAGAAGAUCUGACUGGGCUGGGGAGUGCCUGGAUCCUGAUCGUACCGAGGUUCCUCAUGGUCCCCACCUCACUCUACCCAGGGUUGCUGAAAGAGUUUCUAGACUGGUUUAAAAGAACCUGGAAGUUUCUAGCCCCUGUUCUUCCCCGUUCUCUACCGACUCACCCUACCAGCCAGAAGCUACUCCUUCAAAGUACCCGAGCUCACUCCAGCUCCGAAGAUUGGAAGCAGGAAGGAUGUGAGACCCACAGACCAGAGGUUAAGUUCGGCUCUGGAGCUCAGAGUUUGGGAGCCAACUUGCAGUCCUAAGUGCGGUUCUAUGGUAUCAGUCUUACCGGGAACAGUAAAUAAACCACAGAAGACAAGUGCUAUUUAUUGGACCCCUUCAAAACUUCAACAAAUUGGUUGACUUUCAUAGUUGAACAUAACGGUUACACAAAGAAGAAAUGUAAUAAAACACAAUCAGUGUCAGUGAGGGGAUACGCUCCUUGUAUGGCAAGCUCUUCGUGGGCUCUGGGGAUGGGAAAUGACCCGGGCAUGCAGGAUUGGACUUUUGGGGAACUGAUGAACAAGCAGUAACCCAAGCAGGACUGCCCCUCUUGCAGCCCUGCUCCUCAGCAGCUCAGUCCCGAGAUGCUGCUGGGAGAAGCAUCUGCUUCGUCUCCUCCUUGCAGCGACUCUUGGUUGCUAAGCAGAUCCCUUGGGUAACUAUGUGGGCAUAAAACCUUUGCAGAACUGCCAGAUAUCUGCUUCACCCAAUUGUCAGAGUGAAAAAAUGAAAUCAUUCCUCUCACCUGUCACUACUUGGCACAAAGCUUCCAUUAUUGAAUGGUGAUGGCCCAGAAUGUAUUCUCACCUACUUGCGGGAAUAUAAAUGAGUUUUGCAUAUUCUACCUCCAAGAGAGUGGGAAGGGAGAGAGGAGGUGUUGGGAUCUCUGGAGUUGAUACGCUGGGGAGUCAGUGGUUGAGGAGAAGUGGGUAGAACCGACCAGCUCGCUCUCCACCGUUGGCAAAUGGGUGCCUGGAACAAGCGAAGACUUCCCUGCUUUCGGAUAAGCGCUCCUUAAGCUCAGCGGAGCCUGGGGACCCCUCUGACACGCGGCUAUUGAAUUGGUGUCUUUGGGGGUGAGGCCAAGGCACUCUGCUUUCUGAAGAGAUUUCUUAGAUGAAUCUUGUAAGCACUGUUGAGGUUUGAAAACCACUAACACAUGUGUACACGGAUCGAUGCAACAAGACAUUACAGGUAUUCAAAUAAAUGUCAUGAAGGAGUGAGAUGCUAUCGGCGGAGUGUUAAUUUUGACAGAGUAUGGCUCCUCUGAGCCUUGGACGAAUCUCUUUAGAAAGCAGAGUGAUUUGGCCUCACCCUGGAGAUACUGAUUCAGUAGCUCAGCAUCAGAGGAGUCCCUAGGCACCACUGAACCUAAGGAAGACUUAUCUGAAAACAGUGAAGUCUUCACUUGUUCCAUCAGAUGGGACAGAUUCAUCUCUGGGUAGGGAAGGAGGGAAGGAGGGACAGAAGCACUCACAGCUCAGAGGGAUAGUAAACUGGCCCGAUAGGCCAGGAAUAAAAGAUGAGGAGCAGAACUUAAGUGGAGAGUGAGAGCACAGGAGAGGAUCUGGGUGGAAAGUAGUGUCGGACGUGGACUGUGGUUAGGAAGAGAGAGCUAUGACCAGAUAGGCAUUCAAGAAAGGUAGCUGUGGUCUGUGUGGUGGUGCAUGCCUGUAAUCCCAGCACUUGGGAGGUAGAGGCAGGAGGAUCAGGAGUUUAAGGCUAGCCUCGGCUACAUAGUGAGUUCUGGACCUGCCUGGGCUUGAGAGAUGCCACCUCAAAGAAAAACCAAACAAACAAAAACAAGAACAAACAACAACAACAAAAAAAAACCCAGAAACUAACAGGAAAAACAAAAGAGAGAAAGAUGAUGAAGGGUAAUGCAGAAGGUGGGCUGGAAGAAGACAGGAAGAGUCCACUCUUCUUCCAGCUCCAGAGAGGCCCAGGCUGGGGAGGGGGUCAGAAGCCACGAGCUCUUUCUUGGUCUUAUCCUCGCUGCCUCUGGUACACAAUAUUGAACUUGUAUGCCACGACAUUGUUCAAAUAGUGUGCCUGUUCAUUUUCUUUUUUUUUUUAAUCAAGGUAUAUGGAACUUUCGAUGUAGCACCAAAUAUGUGGAUGAUAUUUAUUUUAAAGAAUUUUAAAACAGCAUUUAAAUUAAUCUCACAAAAUAAACUUCAGUUCUCAGGGAAGUUAACGAACUUGCUGCUUUUCAAAGAGGGAUGUGAAGGAACUGAGAGUUACAUGCAACUAAGACAUUUUAAAAGGUAGCGUGGACUGGGGAUGUACCUCAGUUGGGAUAGUGUUUGCCUGCCAGGCACAAAGCCCCCGCUGUUGUGGAAUAUUAUUUUAAAAUGUGUUACCUUUUUUUAUGCUCUGGGAUAUUUGUUUAAUAAUGUAAAGGUGUGUUGUAUUCCUUUAUGUUGCAUUUUUUUAACUCUGUAAAGCUGUGUUACUUUGCCUGUCUAAAACAUCUGAUUGGUCUAAUAAAGAGCUGAACAGCCAAUAGCAAGGCAGGAGAAAGGGUAGGCAGGGCUGGCAAGCAGAGGAGAAAGGAGCAAGAGAGAUCAAGAAGCAAGAAAAAAAGAGGUCAGCCACCUAGCCACACAGUCAGACAUGGAAUAAGAAGGAAAGAAAAGCAUACAGAAAUAGAGAAAGGUAAAAGCCAGGAGGCAAAAGGUAGGCACGAUCAUUUAAGUUACGAAAAGCUGGCUAGAAACAAGCCAAGCUAAGGCCAGGCAUUCUGGCUGAUUUAUUUGGGAACUGGGUGGUGGGCCCCCAAAAGAGUAAAAGAGCAAAGAGUGAAAAAACAACCAACUACACCCAGCAUUACCUAAACCAAGUGUGGUAGCAAACAACCGCUGGCCCAAAACUGGGGAUAUGGAGGCAGGAAGAUCAGAAAUUCAAGGUCAUCCUUCGUUACACACCAAG
Long non-coding RNA from Peromyscus californicus insignis, 6489 nucleotides. RefSeq lists it as uncharacterized. The transcript has 4 exons. Lineage: Eukaryota; Metazoa; Chordata; Mammalia; Rodentia; Cricetidae. The record is from RefSeq and is a predicted model, not a curated record.